AGAUGAAGUCAAAGUUGUAACAAGUGAACCGUAGGUGAAUCGCGGAAGGAUCAUUAACGAGUUUGAAAUCGAGAGCUGUUGCUGGUGCGGAAACGCACAUCGUGCACGGCUCCCGUGCUCAAUCCAUUUCAACCCCCUUGUGCACCUUAUCGAAGUCAGUAGUCUUUCUCUUUUUGUUUGCCGGUUGUGUGCGGGAACCUCUUUCUGUUCACUUGGCCGGCGAGGAGAAAUAGAGGGUCGAAAGCUUUGACUUUUCUGUUAAACACUUUGUAUGUCUUGUGGAACGUAUUAGCUCCUUUGUAGGGGCGAAAUAAAUACAACUUUCAACAACGGAUCUCUUGGCUCUCGCAUCGAUGAAGAACGCAGCGAAAUGCGAUAAGUAAUGUGAAUUGCAGAAUUCAGUGAAUCAUCGAAUCUUUGAACGCACCUUGCGCCCCUUGGUAUUCCGAGGGGCAUGCCUGUUUGAGUGUCAUGUUAAUCUCAAACCCCUUGUCUUUUUUGUUGACUUGGUCGGUUUGGACUUGGAGGUGUUGCUGGCGUGCGUCGGCUCCUCUUAAUUGCAUUAGCUGGACUUUGGUUCGCAUUUGACGGUGUAAUAGUAAAGUGUUCGCCGGGCGUGCUUGCCUAACGGGUCUGCUUCUAAUCGUCUUCGGACAACUCUGUUCAUUUUGACCUUGACCUCAAAUCGGGUACGACUACGCGCUGAACUUAAGCUUAUCUAUAACCGGAGGAAAAGAAACUAAAAGGGAUUCCCCUAGUAUCUGCGAGUGAAGCGCGAAGAGCUCGAAUUUAACAUCAUGUCGACUUUCUGGUCGCUCGAGUUGCAAUCUGGAGAGACACUUGUCCAGCGCUGGUACCGGCG
Molecule: ribosomal RNA, 862 nt
Filed under: Phellinus sp. YD-2015
Lineage: Eukaryota; Fungi; Basidiomycota; Agaricomycetes; Hymenochaetales; Hymenochaetaceae
Description: eukaryotic LSU rRNA
Rfam family: 5.8S ribosomal RNA (bases 319-472)
Source: RNAcentral